UUGAAGUUGGGUUUCAUGUGAGAGAGGUUGACCAAAACGAAAUGAAGGGAACGAAAGGGGGAAACGGAACGAAAAGGAGAAGGGAUGAGAGGACGGAAAAAUGGUGAGACGAGGAAGGAAGAGGGAGAUGGUGGAGAUGGGUGAAACGAGAGAAGGAAAGAAAAGACGUGGCGGAGAUGAGCGGCAGAGAGCAGGUGGAGAGAGAGGGGGAGGCGAGAGCAGGUGGAGAGGGAGGGACCGGCAACAGAUGCUACCGCCUGGUUGCAGGGAGUUAGAGAGAGAGAGAGCAGCAGAGUGGGGCAGAGAUGGCCGAGGAUUAGAGAGAGAGCAGCAGCAGAGUGGGACGGAGAUUGCAGAGGGUUGCAGAGGAGGCCUGGUUACGGGUGGCAGCUGAGGCUGAGCGGGGAUGACUUGGUUGCGGACGGCUGAAGAAGAGGGCUCGGCAGCGAAAGUGGACAGCAGAGAAAGAGGGCUCGGCAGGCUGAAAAAGGGCUCGGUGGGCUGAGGAGAGGGCACGACAGGCUGAGGUAAAGGCAGGGCAAGCUGAGGUGGCUCGGUAGGCUGAGGUGGCUCUACAGAGUGCGAGUGAGGUUGCUGUUGUGGGUUGUGCACGGCGGACGUGAGGGAAAUGGAUCAGCAGGAUGGAGGCCGUGGCUAGUGUGGGUUGUGCACGUCAGGGAGAAGUUUGUGGGUGCGUGGGAGCACAGGAGAGAAGGAAAGGGUGGACCUGAGGGAGCACAGCAGAGGGAGCGUGAGGGGGCAUGACAGAAGUAGGUGGUUGUGAGGGAGUUUGGACGUGCAGAGAGAGAGAAGGAAGGAGAGAGAAGGAAAGUAAAAGAAACGAGAGAAGAGAAAAAAAGAAACGAGAGAAGGAAAAGAGGGAAAGGAGAGAGAGAGAGGAACGGUGAAGGCUAGCUAGACUUUUGUUCGACCUUCCAAAAGGGAGAGGAGAGAAAUGAAGGAUGGCGGGGAGACGAGGAAAGAAAGAGAGAAAGGAAAGAGGAAGAAAGAGAGGAUAAAAAACGAAAAAAAAAAAAAGGAAAGAUAAAAAAAGGCCAGGAGGAAAGAAGAAGAGAAAAAAAAAAGAAAAAAGAAGAGAGCGAAAGAGAGAAGAAAGGAGAGAGAAGAGAUGAAAGAAAACAAAGUUAAGAGAGACAAAGUUAAGAGAGAGAAAGGAGAGGAGAAAAAGUUAUCUUGAUGGCCCAAAAGUAUCUACCUAAAAUCUUC
Molecule: long non-coding RNA, 1227 nt
Filed under: Amborella trichopoda
Lineage: Eukaryota; Viridiplantae; Streptophyta; Magnoliopsida; Amborellales; Amborellaceae
Description: long non-coding RNA (ATRI_LNC003209)
Source: RNAcentral